Non-coding RNA from Phrynosoma platyrhinos (Desert horned lizard), 72 nucleotides. Lineage: Eukaryota; Metazoa; Chordata; Lepidosauria; Squamata; Phrynosomatidae. The record is from the annotation of a GenBank genome assembly.
GACAGUGUGGUGUAGUAGUUUGAACGUGGGACUAGGACUCAGGAGAUUGGAGUUCGAUUCCCUGCUCAGCCA